GCCUGCUCAGUUGGUUAGGGCAUGGUGCUGAUAGUGCCAAGGUUGCAGGUUCGAUCCUUGUAUGGGACA
Podarcis lilfordi (Lilford's wall lizard) is the source of this 69-nucleotide non-coding RNA. The record is from the annotation of a GenBank genome assembly. NCBI's taxonomy places the organism in Eukaryota, Metazoa, Chordata, Lepidosauria, Squamata, Lacertidae.